RNAcentral lists this ribosomal RNA (486 nucleotides) under Epicoccum sp. UFMGCB 4570. RNAcentral describes it as "eukaryotic LSU rRNA". The stretch from base 127 to 280 matches the Rfam family "5.8S ribosomal RNA". The record is from RNAcentral. Lineage: Eukaryota; Fungi; Ascomycota; Dothideomycetes; Pleosporales; Didymellaceae.
GGCUUGCCUGCUAUCUCUUACCAUGUCUUUUGAGUACUUACGUUUCCUCGGUGGGUUCGCCCACCGAUUGGACAAACUUAAACCCUUUGCAGUUGAAAUCAGCGUCUGAAAAAACUUAAUAGUUACAACUUUCAACAACGGAUCUCUUGGUUCUGGCAUCGAUGAAGAACGCAGCGAAAUGCGAUAAGUAGUGUGAAUUGCAGAAUUCAGUGAAUCAUCGAAUCUUUGAACGCACAUUGCGCCCCUUGGUAUUCCAUGGGGCAUGCCUGUUCGAGCGUCAUUUGUACCUUCAAGCUCUGCUUGGUGUUGGGUGUUUGUCUCCUGUAGACUCGCCUUAAAACAAUUGGCAGCCGGCGUAUUGAUUUCGGAGCGCAGUACAUCUCGCGCUUUGCACUCAUAACGACGACAUCCAAAAGUACAUUUUUACACUCUUGACCUCGGAUCAGGUAGGGAUACCCGCUGAACUUAAGCAUAUCAAUAAGCGGA